Molecule: ribosomal RNA, 411 nt
Filed under: Verrucomicrobiota bacterium
Lineage: Bacteria; Pseudomonadati; Verrucomicrobiota
Description: Verrucomicrobia bacterium partial 16S ribosomal RNA
Rfam family: Bacterial small subunit ribosomal RNA
Source: RNAcentral
UGGGGAAUAUUUCGCAAUGGGGGAAACCCUGACGCAGCGACGCCGCGUGCGGGAUGAAGGCCUUCGGGUUUUAAACCGCUUUUGAUUGGGAGCAAGCUUUCGGGUGAGUGUACCUUUCGAAUAAGCGCCGGCUAACUACGUUCCAGCAGCCGCGGUAAUACGUAGGGCGCAAGCGUUAUCCGGAAUUAUUGGGCGUAAAGAGCUCGUAGGCGGUUUGUCACGUCUGCUGUGAAAGACCGGGGCUUAACUCCGGGGCUGCAGUGGGUACGGGCAGGCUAGAGUGCGGUAGGGGUAACAGGACUUCCUGGUGUAGCGGUGAAAUGCGCAGAUAUCAGGAGGAAACCGGAUGGCGAAGGCAGGUUACUGGGCCGUUACUAACGCUGAGGAGCGAAAGCAUGGGAAGCGAACAGG